GACGAAGGGGGCUAGCGUUGUUCGGAAUUACUGGGCGUAAAGCGAGUGUAGGUGGUUUUCCAAGUUGGAUGUGAAAGCCUUGAGCUCAACUCAAGAAAUGCAUUCAGGACUGGGAGACUAGAGGACCGGAGAGGAUAGUGGAAUUCCCAGUGUAGUGGUGAAAUACGUAGAGAUUGGGAAGAACACCAGUGGCGAAGGCGGCUAUCUGGACGGUUUCUGACACUAAGACUCGAAAGCGUGGGGAGCAAACAGGAUUAGAAACCCCGGUAGU
RNAcentral lists this ribosomal RNA (271 nucleotides) under uncultured bacterium. RNAcentral's name for it is "partial 16S ribosomal RNA". It matches the Rfam family "Bacterial small subunit ribosomal RNA", at positions 524 to 794 of the family's 1533-position model. The record is from RNAcentral.